CUUGGUCAAUUAGAGGAAGUAAAAGUCGUAACAAGGUCUUCGUAGGUGAACCUGCGGAGGGAUCAUUA
RNAcentral lists this ribosomal RNA (68 nucleotides) under Exophiala oligosperma. Its description in RNAcentral is "partial 18S ribosomal RNA". It matches the Rfam family "Eukaryotic small subunit ribosomal RNA", at positions 1764 to 1831 of the family's 1831-position model. Lineage: Eukaryota; Fungi; Ascomycota; Eurotiomycetes; Chaetothyriales; Herpotrichiellaceae. The record is from RNAcentral.